AUGCAAGUCGAGCGGCAGCGGGAAGAUAGCUUGCUAUCUUUGCCGGCGAGCGGCGGACGGGUGAGUAAUGCCUAGGGAUCUGCCCAGUCGAGGGGGAUAACAGUUGGAAACGACUGCUAAUACCGCAUACGCCCUACGGGGGAAAGGAGGGGACCUUCGGGCCUUCCGCGAUUGGAUGAACCUAGGUGGGAUUAGCUAGUUGGUGAGGUAAUGGCUCACCAAGGCGACGAUCCCUAGCUGUUCUGAGAGGAUGAUCAGCCACACUGGGACUGAGACACGGCCCAGACUCCUACGGGAGGCAGCAGUGGGGAAUAUUGCACAAUGGGGGAAACCCUGAUGCAGCCAUGCCGCGUGUGUGAAGAAGGCCUUCGGGUUGUAAAGCACUUUCAGUAGGGAGGAAAGGUAGCAGCUUAAUACGCUGUUGCUGUGACGUUACCUACAGAAGAAGGACCGGCUAACUCCGUGCCAGCAGCCGCGGUAAUACGGAGGGUCCGAGCGUUAAUCGGAAUUACUGGGCGUAAAGCGUGCGCAGGCGGUUUGUUAAGCGAGAUGUGAAAGCCCCGGGCUCAACCUGGGAAUUGCAUUUCGAACUGGCGAACUAGAGUCUUGUAGAGGGGGGUAGAAUUCCAGGUGUAGCGGUGAAAUGCGUAGAGAUCUGGAGGAAUACCGGUGGCGAAGGCGGCCCCCUGGACAAAGACUGACGCUCAGGCACG
RNAcentral lists this ribosomal RNA (713 nucleotides) under Shewanella baltica. RNAcentral's name for it is "bacterial SSU rRNA". It matches the Rfam family "Bacterial small subunit ribosomal RNA", at positions 55 to 755 of the family's 1533-position model. The record is from RNAcentral. Lineage: Bacteria; Pseudomonadati; Pseudomonadota; Gammaproteobacteria; Alteromonadales; Shewanellaceae.